This 247-nucleotide ribosomal RNA is filed under the name uncultured bacterium. RNAcentral's name for it is "partial 16S ribosomal RNA". It matches the Rfam family "Bacterial small subunit ribosomal RNA", at positions 523 to 769 of the family's 1533-position model. The record is from RNAcentral.
AUACGUAGGGGGCAAGCGUUAUCCGGAAUUACUGGGUGUAAAGGGAGAGUAGGCGGCAUGGUAAGUUAGAUGUGAAAGCCCGUGGCUUAACCACGGGAUUGCAUUUAAAACUAUCAAGCUAGAGUACGGGAGAGGAAAGUGGAAUUCCUAGUGUAGCGGUGAAAUGCGUAGAUAUUAGGAAGAACACCAGUGGCGAAGGCGACUUUCUGGACCGAAACUGACGCUGAGGCUCGAAAGCGUGGGGAGC